This 257-nucleotide ribosomal RNA is filed under the name uncultured bacterium. RNAcentral's name for it is "partial small subunit ribosomal RNA". It matches the Rfam family "Bacterial small subunit ribosomal RNA", at positions 26 to 285 of the family's 1533-position model. The record is from RNAcentral.
AGGACGAACGCUGGCGGCGUGCUUAACACAUGCAAGUCGAGCGGUGAUCCUCCUUCGGGAGGUGAUCAGCGGCGAACGGGUGAGUAACACGUGGGCAACCUGCCCCUCACACUGGGAUAACCUCGGGAAACCGGGGCUAAUACCGGAUAUGACCUCGAGCGGCAUCUCUUGAGGUGGAAAGCUCCGACGGUGAGGGAUGGGCCCGCGGCCUAUCAGCUUGUUGGUGGGGUAAUGGCCUACCAAGGCAACGACGGGUA